CUGAUUAGCUAGUUGGUAGGGUAACGGCCUACCAAGGCGAUGAUCAGUAGGGGGCGUGAGAGCGUGGCCCCCCACACGGGUACUGAGGCACGGACCCGACUCCUACGGGAGGCAGCAGUAAGGAAUAUUGGGCAAUGGAGGCAACUCUGACCCAGCCAUCCCGCGUGAAGGAUGACGGCCCUAUGGGUUGUAAACUUCUUUUGUUUGGGAAGAAAUCAGGACAUUGAUGUGCUGUUGACGGUACCUUACGAAUAAGCACCGGCUAACUCCGUGCCAGCAGCCGCGGUAAUACGGAGGGUGCAAGCGUUAUCCGGAAUCACUGGGUUUAAAGGGUGCGUAGGCGGCUAAAUAAGUCAGAGGUGAAAGCUGGCAGCUCAACUGUCAAACUGCCUUUGAUACUGUUUGGCUUGAAUCAGGUUAAGGUAGGCAGAAUGUGGCAUGUA
RNAcentral lists this ribosomal RNA (443 nucleotides) under uncultured bacterium. RNAcentral's name for it is "bacterial SSU rRNA". It matches the Rfam family "Bacterial small subunit ribosomal RNA", at positions 237 to 677 of the family's 1533-position model. The record is from RNAcentral.